Long non-coding RNA from Corticium candelabrum, 2628 nucleotides. RefSeq lists it as uncharacterized. The transcript is spliced from 7 exons. NCBI's taxonomy places the organism in Eukaryota, Metazoa, Porifera, Homoscleromorpha, Homosclerophorida, Plakinidae. The record is from RefSeq and is a predicted model, not a curated record.
UGUUCUAACGCACCUAGCGGUACGCGGGAACACUUUCACGCAGAGCCGUCUAGAGAUAUCGGUUGCGCACUACGCUGCGCACUAAAAGCUGCGCCGCUCUCUGGAGAGUGUUUUAGAUGUAAUCUAGGGGGCUAAGCAAGCCUGUACCCAGGCAUGAGGGAGUUGCCUCCUCUGACAAAGACACGUCAUGACGAGUUUACAGUAAGCAGCUAGAUAUCUACUGCAAGAAUUUCUGAACGAACACAAGUUUAGCUAAGUUUUAGAUGUGAGUGUGUACCAUGCACUUACUGUAGGUAUGUAUGUAAAGUAGCGCAAAUUUCUAGUUGUAGGACAUAACUUGUGAUUGCAGCAAUUUAAUGCACGUUAAUUGUUCACUUGGCUUCUUUACAAAGUGCGGGACAUGAUGGACUUGGUCCUGGCCUUGGCGUGCGGGGAACUGAAUAAUUUAUGAAUCUGGGUAUGGCGAGUUAUACAGGCACUAUAGUUUUUGAACUUCUUCAUGUAAUGUUAAAUGAUGCAUGCCCUUGUCCGGCCCUCUUCAACUAUGGAUAUUUUCCAAUGUCUUGAAGUUCAGAACUAGACCUAGAUUAGAAUGUAGCAUGCUUGGUAGAUCUAACUGUGAAAUCCACUUGAACAGUGAAGGACUGCAUGACCCAUACAAGGAUAGGGCUAGGUAUACUCGCCUGACAGCACGAACUCAGUCGUUUCUUUAGCGCCAUCACUUGUUGAAGAGCCUGUGGAUACAGUGGUUGGUUAUAAUGGUGUGACUGGAUUGAUUCUACCUGCCACUCUUCACUGUCAGGGCAACUCCAACGAGUCAGAGAUCUAUUGGUACAAAGAUGAUCAGCCAAUAAAUACAGCAAUUCCAUAUUUCAAUGUCAGUGAUGGAUGGCUUACAGUUGCAACUCGAAACAAGAGGGAUGAUGUAGCCGCUUUGGAAGGAUUCUAUUAUUGCACUGUGGGGAACAGUCUGGGGACUGUGAGAAGCAAGAAAGCUCUCGUUAAAGGAGAGAAGGUGAUGCAGUUUACUGAUAUUGAAAAAUACAAUCGGAAGCAAUAUGCAGUAUUUCUACAAAAUCGUAUCUUGAAACUGCCAGUUCCUAAUUCAUUGCACUUAUGGACUAUAACUUGUAACGUAAAAACUGUGAAUUGCACGAGUAUGAAUUGUCCAUUCUGGCAACACUCUUCUACAUCUGGUCGUCUCCUGGUCUCUUCAGUUUUGCGUUUGAGUUACAAUGAAAUGGGGAAAAGGUAUAAAGACUGUAAACAUACAGAACAUACAAAAUCAAAAUAUUUGAUAACUUUAUCGGAAUCAGAAUCAGAAUCAGUGCAGCUCAAAUUUCGUUUUGUUGUCAAAGAGUUUGCACCUGCAGCACAAAUCAAGAACCAGACUGUCUCUGUUGCAGCUGGAAAUAAUGCUACACUCUACUGUCUAUCUGGGGAUUUCCAUAGCACAUACACAUGAACUCAUAACGGUGCUGAUAUAAAUAUCAGCAGUGACAGCAGGUACUCGCUUAUUGAAGAUGGUGUACUGAAAAUAGUGGGAGUUGUUGAUAAAGACAGCGGACAAUAUGAAUGUCGUUACAAUUUUCCAACAAUUGAUAAAUAUGCUAAAGAGACUGGAAUGAUAUCUUCUGAUCUAAAAAUUUAUCGUACGCUUGCCCACAGUUAAGUUGACUGUUGAAGAAAGUAACACGAUAGAUGGGAGUGGUAGCAGUUGCAGUAGUGAAAUCAGUUCUACUACGGAUUGCCCUUUGAUGUAUUCCAACUCAUCAGCAAUCAUAACCUGUGCUGCACAAGGAUCUACUCCUCUUGAACUUCAACUCAUCAACAACAUGCAUGUGCUGCAGCAUGCAAGCAACACGAAUUAUUUGCAGCACAUGAUUGACAAGCCAUCAGCAGCAAUUUACCAAUGCAUGGCAAGCAAUGAUUAUGGCAGUCGACAGACACCAUAUAUAUUUCUCUGCCAGAUGUAGCUGAUCAGUCUACUAUAUCAUCUUUUUCUUUAUCUUCUUCAAGCAACACUGCGUACAUGUAUAGUGACAGUACAAGCCAUGAUACCUCACGAAAAACCAAUUGUGAGCCAUUGACUACAUGGAAAAUAGCAGGUGCAGUAGGUUGGGCAUUUUCUGCAAUACUGAUAAUUGUUUGCAUUGCUCUCGCGUGGUUUCAUUGUACAAAUAAACGUAAGAUUACAAUCUCACAGUCAAAUCAUGGAGAGAGUGCUAAGGGUAUGGAAAGCAAUGAAGCCUACAGUGUACAAUCGCAACAAGUCAGAUCAGUGGAAACAACUGGACAUUAUGAAGAGGUGAAGUUGCAUGUAAUGUAGUUUAGUUGGAUGAAGUGGCACAAACUAGGUAAGAGCAAGCAUGUUGUGCAUUACUCAAUGGUAGAGUUAUAGAUAGAAUACAGACAUGGGACAGGUGUCUGCAGCGUUUUUGUGUUAGUAAGUGUCUACUGGCUUAGCUAUAGCAUGUACUAGAAUUAAGUUCUUCACUAAAUACUGCAUUCAUUAAAUUUACAGUUUGCUUGUGUUUUCGCAGAUAAGUUGACAGGAAAAUUAUUGUUUUGCAUAGCUAGUUUUACCCCUCUUUGUCAGCUUUCAACCAAGAUAAUGUGCAUGUAUAC